UUCUUAUCUGGAGCAUGAACAAACCAGAUCGUUCUGGUGAUGAUUUCCAUAGUCCAAGAGGAGGUCCACGCGUUGCUGCUACUACUGCAUCAAGGUGGUCGGUGGAUUCGUCCUGCUCAUCCUGAUAGCAUCAGUCUUCACGGUGCUGUGGUAUUUUCUAGCAGCUAACUUCAGCCCAAAAUAUCCCUGGGCAGGCUGAAGGAAUUAAAACCAGUCGAUAUUUCAUGGGCUCAUUCCAGCUGGUGAAUGAAAUCUACUAUUCCCGUCACAGCGACUCUGCUUCGGACACAUUCAAGAGGGAGGUUGCGAAGCUGGAGAACGUGGGCUUUGUCGGUAAAUAAAAGGCUAAUAAGAGGCAGGAAAAGUACAAGUCAACUUCGUUUCCCAAAGACACUGAUCCUUCUCACAGUGCUGCUGGGAGGAGCAUUAGCAGAA
Terrapene triunguis (Three-toed box turtle) is the source of this 435-nucleotide long non-coding RNA. RefSeq lists it as uncharacterized. Lineage: Eukaryota; Metazoa; Chordata; Testudines; Emydidae. The record is from RefSeq and is a predicted model, not a curated record. The transcript is spliced from 3 exons.